Molecule: ribosomal RNA, 251 nt
Filed under: Salmonella enterica subsp. enterica serovar Thompson
Lineage: Bacteria; Pseudomonadati; Pseudomonadota; Gammaproteobacteria; Enterobacterales; Enterobacteriaceae
Also listed under: 3 other names
Description: partial 16S ribosomal RNA
Rfam family: Bacterial small subunit ribosomal RNA
Source: RNAcentral
UUAAAUUGAAGAGUUUGAUCAUGGCUCAGAUUGAACGCUGGCGGCAGGCCUAACACAUGCAAGUCGAACGGUAACAGGAAGCAGCUUGCUGCUUCGCUGACGAGUGGCGGACGGGUGAGUAAUGUCUGGGAAACUGCCUGAUGGAGGGGGAUAACUACUGGAAACGGUGGCUAAUACCGCAUAACGUCGCAAGACCAAAGAGGGGGACCUUCGGGCCUCUUGCCAUCAGAUGUGCCCAGAUGGGAUUAGCU